CGGCGUCAUUUGUUCAGGAAGGGAACCAUCGAUAACAGACUGCAGACAUCAGGGUUCGGGGUCCACAACUGUAGACAUAAUGAAGAUACCAGCAUCAUCUGUUACAACGCCAGCAUGAAUGUGGCUAUCAGACCAGUCCUGCUCACUGCAGGUAGCC
RNA transcript from Hippoglossus stenolepis (Pacific halibut), 157 nucleotides. RefSeq lists it as uncharacterized. The transcript has 3 exons. Lineage: Eukaryota; Metazoa; Chordata; Actinopteri; Pleuronectiformes; Pleuronectidae. The record is from RefSeq and is a predicted model, not a curated record.